CGCCUUUUGAUAUAUAUUUAUAAAAGGUCCUGCCUGCCCAGUGACUCUGUUCAACGGCCGCGGUAUCAUGACCGUGCAAAGGUAGCGUAAUCACUUGUCUUUUAAAUAAAGACUAGUAUGAACGGCAACACGAGGGUCCAACUGUCUCACUAAAUUAGUCAGUGAAAUUAAUCUUUCCGUGCAGAAGCGGAACUGAUUUUAUAAGACGAGAAGACCCUGUGGAGCUUUAAAUCUAAAUUUUAGGUUGGGGCGACCAUGAGGCAAAACAAACCCUCAAGACAAUAAUUAGAGAGACAUCUCAAACAUUGACCCAAUAAUUGAUCAACGAACCAAGUUACCCCAGGGAUAACAGCGCAAUCCACUCACAGAGCCCAUAUCGACGAGCGGGUUUACGACCUCGAUGUUGGAUCAGGACCACCUAGUGGUGCAACAACUACUAAAGGUUCGUUUGUUCAACGAUUAAAGUCCU
RNAcentral lists this ribosomal RNA (469 nucleotides) under Oedipina leptopoda (narrow-footed worm salamander). Its description in RNAcentral is "partial large subunit ribosomal RNA". It matches the Rfam family "Bacterial large subunit ribosomal RNA", at positions 1817 to 2597 of the family's 2925-position model. Lineage: Eukaryota; Metazoa; Chordata; Amphibia; Caudata; Plethodontidae. The record is from RNAcentral.